CACCGCGGUCACACGAUUAACCCAAAUCAAUAAGUACCGGCGUAGAGCGUGUUUAGGAGAAGACUCAUAAAUAAAGUUAAAUCAGAUCCAAGCCGUAGAAAGCUAAAGAUCAGACAAAAAUAAUCCACGAAAGUGACUUUAUCAGCUCUGAACACACGAUAGCUAAGACA
This 170-nucleotide ribosomal RNA is filed under the name Dugong dugon (dugong). RNAcentral's name for it is "partial 12S rRNA". The record is from RNAcentral. Lineage: Eukaryota; Metazoa; Chordata; Mammalia; Sirenia; Dugongidae.